GAUGAACGCUGGCGGCGUGCCUAAUACAUGCAAGUCGAGCGAACGGACGAGAAGCUUGCUUCUCUGAUGUUAGCGGCGGACGGGUGAGUAACACGUGGAUAACCUACCUAUAAGACUGGGAUAACUUCGGGAAACCGGAGCUAAUACCGGAUAAUAUUUUGAACCGCAUGGUUCAAAAGUGAAAGACGGUCUUGCUGUCACUUAUAGAUGGAUCCGCGCUGCAUUAGUUAGUUGGUAAGGUAACGGCUUACCAAGGCAACGAGGCAUAGCCGACCUGAGAGGGUGAUCGGCCACACUGGAACUGAGACACGGCCCAGACUCCUACGGGAGGCAGCAGUAGGGAAUCUUCCGCAAUGGGCGAAAGCCUGACGGAGCAACGCCGCGUGAGUGAUGAAGGUCUUCGGAUCGUAAAACUCUGUUAUUAGGGAAGAACAUAUGUGUAAGUAACUGUGCACAUCUUGACGGUACCUAAUCAGAAAGCCACGGCUAACUACGUG
RNAcentral lists this ribosomal RNA (497 nucleotides) under uncultured bacterium. Its description in RNAcentral is "partial 16S ribosomal RNA". It matches the Rfam family "Bacterial small subunit ribosomal RNA", at positions 28 to 507 of the family's 1533-position model. The record is from RNAcentral.